UCAGUUUUUCAAUGUUCUUUGCAAUUGUGUUGGGUAUGUCGGUGACAAUCAAGAGCUACGUGAAGAACUACUUGCAGCGCUGAUUGAAGUGGAAAAAAGGUUUUCAAAGGACGGCAGUAUAGAGUCUAAGAUCGAAGCUAAGCAUAGGCUUUUCAAUGAUUUUUAUGGUAUUGCACCACCUGAAACACCAUCUGUUUUACCUCCGCUCAUAGC
RNAcentral lists this long non-coding RNA (213 nucleotides) under Salvia miltiorrhiza (redroot sage). Its description in RNAcentral is "long non-coding RNA (SMIL_LNC008514)". Lineage: Eukaryota; Viridiplantae; Streptophyta; Magnoliopsida; Lamiales; Lamiaceae. The record is from RNAcentral.